CAGUCGCCGCGGUAAUACGUAGGUGGCAAGCGUUGUCCGGAAUUAUUGGGCGUAAAGGGCUUGCAGGCGGUUUCUUAAGUCUGAUGUGAAAGCCCCCGGCUCAACCGGGGAGGGUCAUUGGAAACUGGGAAACUUGAGUGCAGAAGAGGAGAGUGGAAUUCCACGUGUAGCGGUGAAAUGCGUAGAGAUGUGGAGGAACACCAGUGGCGAAGGCGACUCUCUGGUCUGUAACUGACGCUGAGGAGCGAAAGCGUGGGGAGCGAACAGGAUUAGAUACCCCAGUAGUCCCUGUCUCUUAUAC
This 301-nucleotide ribosomal RNA is filed under the name uncultured bacterium. Its description in RNAcentral is "partial 16S ribosomal RNA". It matches the Rfam family "Bacterial small subunit ribosomal RNA", at positions 509 to 807 of the family's 1533-position model. The record is from RNAcentral.